RNAcentral lists this ribosomal RNA (274 nucleotides) under uncultured bacterium. RNAcentral describes it as "partial 16S ribosomal RNA". It matches the Rfam family "Bacterial small subunit ribosomal RNA", at positions 523 to 796 of the family's 1533-position model. The record is from RNAcentral.
AUACGGAGGGUCCGAGCGUUAUCCGGAAUUAUUGGGUUUAAAGGGUCCGUAGGCGGGCCAUUAAGUCAGGGGUGAAAGUCUGCGGCUCAACCGUAGAAUUGCCUUUGAUACUGAUGGUCUUGAGUUAUAGUGAAGUUGGCGGAAUAUGUAGUGUAGCGGUGAAAUGCAUAGAUAUUACAUAGAACACCGAUUGCGAAGGCAGCUGACUAACUAUAUACUGACGCUGAGGGACGAAAGCGUGGGGAGCGAACAGGAUUAGAAACCCCAGUAGUCC